Molecule: ribosomal RNA, 253 nt
Filed under: uncultured bacterium
Lineage: Bacteria
Description: partial 16S ribosomal RNA
Rfam family: Bacterial small subunit ribosomal RNA
Source: RNAcentral
AACGUAGGACGCAAGCGUUGUUCGGAAUUACUGGGCGUAAAGCGUACGUAGGCGGCUUUGUAAGUUAGAGGUGAAAGCCCGGGGCUCAACUCCGGAAUUGCCUUUAAGACUGCAUCGCUCGAAUCAUGGAGAGGUGAGUGGAAUUCCGAGUGUAGAGGUGAAAUUCGUAGAUAUUCGGAAGAACACCAGUGGCGAAGGCGACUCACUGGACAUGUAUUGACGCUGAGGUACGAAAGCGUGGGGAGCAAACAGG